Molecule: ribosomal RNA, 407 nt
Filed under: Verrucomicrobiota bacterium
Lineage: Bacteria; Pseudomonadati; Verrucomicrobiota
Description: Verrucomicrobia bacterium partial 16S ribosomal RNA
Rfam family: Bacterial small subunit ribosomal RNA
Source: RNAcentral
UGGGGAAUAUUGGACAAUGGAGGAAACUCUUAUCCAGCAAUUCUGUGUGUGUGAAGAAGGUUUUAGGACUGUAAAACACUUUUAGUAGGGAAGAAAAAAAUGACGGUACCUACAGAAGAAGCAACGGCUAAAUACGUGCCAGCAGCCGCGGUAAUACGUAUGUUGCGAGCGUUAUCCGGAAUUAUUGGGCUUAAAGGGCAUCUAGGCGGUAAGACAAGUUGAAGGUGAAAACCUGUGGCUCAACCAUAGGCUUGCCUACAAAACUGUUGAACUAGAGUACUGGAAAGGUGGGUGGAACUACACGAGUAGAGGUGAAAUUCGUAGAUAUGUGUAGGAAUGCCGAUGAUGAAGAUAACUCACUGGACAGAAACUGACGCUGAAGUGCGAAAGCUAGGGGAGCAAACAGG